Molecule: ribosomal RNA, 467 nt
Filed under: uncultured bacterium
Lineage: Bacteria
Description: partial 16S ribosomal RNA
Rfam family: Bacterial small subunit ribosomal RNA
Source: RNAcentral
GAUGAAUGCUGGCGGCGUGCCUAACACAUGCAAGUCGAGCGGCAGCGCGAGUAGUUUACUACUUGGCGGCGAGCGGCGGACGGCUGAGUAACGCGUGGGAACGUGCCCCAAAGUGAGGGAUAACGCACCGAAAGGUGUGCUAAUACCACAUAUGGUCUUCGGAUUAAAGAAUUUAUUCGCUUUGGGAGCGGCCCGCGUCGGAUUAGGUAGUUGGUAGGGUAAUGGCCUACCAAGCCGACGAUCCGUAGCUGGUCUGAGAGGAUGAUCAGCCAGACUGGAACUGAGACACGGUCCAGACUCCUACGGGAGGCAGCAGUGAGGAAUCUUCCACAAUGGGCGAAAGCCUGAUGGAGCAACGCCGCGUGCAGGAUGAAGGCCUUCGGGUUGUAAACUGCUUUUAUAAGUGAAGAAUAUGACGGUAACUUAUGAAUAAGCACCGGCUAACUACGUGCCAGCCGCCGCAGUAA